UACAGAGGUCUCGAGCGUUGUUCGGAUUCAUUGGGCGUAAAGGGCGCGUAGGCGGCGGGGUAAGUCGGGUGUGAAAUCUCAGGGCUCAACCCUGAAACUGCACUCGAUACUGCUCUGCUUGAGGACUGGAGAGGAGACUGGAAUUCACGGUGUAGCAGUGAAAUGCGUAGAUAUCGUGAGGAAGACCAGUGGCGAAGGCGGGUCUCUGGACAGUUCCUGACGCUGAGGUGCGAAAGCGUGGGGAGCAAACAGG
This 253-nucleotide ribosomal RNA is filed under the name uncultured bacterium. Its description in RNAcentral is "partial 16S ribosomal RNA". It matches the Rfam family "Bacterial small subunit ribosomal RNA", at positions 524 to 776 of the family's 1533-position model. The record is from RNAcentral.